ACGAGUAACUCGAAGAACAGACCUUAUUUAUUAAUGCCAGCAGAAUAUACCACACUAGUGCAUGAUGUUGACAUUUUUUUAGUUCUCCUUCAUAUUCUUUGGAAAAGAAUUACCUGUCCUUUGACAUGUUCUUUGCUUGCAACAAAAAAACCAUUUACUUGUAUAUUUACUAGAAGCAGGAAACAUUAUUAAACAUUUUUAUAUAUAAUCCUAUAUUUGUGAUUAUUUUGUGCAGUUGUGAUUUAAUGGAUAUGAAUUCUUGUGCUUUUUAUGAAUCGCCAAACGAUCGAAUGAAUUUAGAUUUGGGAUGGCCAAACGUAAAAAUAUUUCAAAAGCAGCAAAGUCGGAGGUGUAAGACUUUAACAUCAAUGUCGAGCGAUAUGCGAAAAUCGGAAUAUUUAUUGUCAACAAAAAUUAUUUGAUCAAACAGCUAUUCAUGGUUUCCCAAUAUUUAUAUUGGGGCUACUGCAAUCUCAUUCCUAAGAGAAGUGCAACUGGAAUGAAGUUGGCUCGGGCGUUGCUGUUCGGAUUUUCUAAAAUGUGAUUGAAAGUACUCAAAUGGUCCUUGCACGGAUAUAUUAAUAUUUAUUAACUAAUUGGUUAUUAUCUCAUUUGUCGAAUUUGAUUUACAGAUUAAAUAAAAAAGUGAUCUACACUUAAAUACUAAAUGCUGUGUAGUUAACAAGAUCAGUGCAAACAGAUUCUCAAUAAUGUUCGGAGUGGUUUUCGAUAAAUGUGAAUGCGGCCAGUAGGUAUAUCUGGGAAGAUAACGACACAGAACGAUGUCAAAGAAACAAGAAGAGAAAACUGAAGGUGUAAAUGUUAAAAAAAUUUUUUUUUUGGAUUGAUUAAACACAUGUACACAUUGCAGAUACAAUCUACAAACCUAACGUAGAAAACAAGAAAAUCAAGGAAAUAACGGAAAUUUCUAAUUCUUAUGAGAAUCGCCCAAAUGUAUUUUUAAAAAGUAUGAAACUAUCGAUAUAUAAUGGAAACUAAAGAUGGUCAAUCAAAAAUUAGCAACUGUUUAUUUUAUGUAUGCAUAUAUAUUGACUAAAGCAAUUUAUCGAAAGUCUACAAAAUAUGUAAAAACUAAUUUGAAUUGAAAAAAUAUUAUAUUCGAUAUUAUUUUACAAAAUUCAUGAAGUACUUAGUGUGAUUUAAAUUCGACAAAAGUAUGUAUAAGAUUAAAUUUUAAUUUAUAAAAAAGUUUGCCAAAAUGUUGGGACAGUAUUUAUACCUUUCACAUGGAUAAUGCAGCUGUCCAUUAUCUGGAUAACUAUGCAAAAGUUUUAAUAUAAAGAAAAUUGUAAUUAUCAUGAAAAUAGCUACCAUAACGAAAUAUUAAGAUAAUGAAUAAGUAUUAUCAUAAGCUAACAGCUAAGGUAACUAUUACUGAAGAACUUUUUCUUGUUACAAAUUAGAACUAUAAACAUUUUGCCCUAACUUAUUAUUUAUUAGUAAACUAUUUUAUUUUAACACAUUUUUUUUUAAUUUAAUGAUCAGAUUCAAUUGCAUUC
Teleopsis dalmanni is the source of this 1520-nucleotide long non-coding RNA. RefSeq lists it as uncharacterized. Lineage: Eukaryota; Metazoa; Arthropoda; Insecta; Diptera; Diopsidae. The record is from RefSeq and is a predicted model, not a curated record. The transcript has 3 exons.